This 279-nucleotide unclassified non-coding RNA is filed under the name Hevea brasiliensis (rubber tree). The record is from RNAcentral. Lineage: Eukaryota; Viridiplantae; Streptophyta; Magnoliopsida; Malpighiales; Euphorbiaceae.
GAAGAAGAAGAAGAAGAAGAGUGACAGCCUGCUGCAUGAUAAAGAAGGGGGGAAAAAGUGGAGCAGUAGCAGAAAAGUAACGUGUGGGAGAAGGAGAAUGGGAAAAGAACUGACCUGAUUGGAGUCUUGGGAAAACUAAAAGACAACUUUUAACUUUUUUUAGCUUUUUACUUUCUUGGAAUUAGGUGGCUGGCUGCUUAGGGACACGUGGUGCCAAGAAGUGAAAAGAAAAGCUGAUCAACUUCUCUCUUAGAAUUUUUUUUUUUUAAUUUCUUGCUU